Molecule: ribosomal RNA, 23 nt
Filed under: Mugil cephalus (flathead mullet)
Lineage: Eukaryota; Metazoa; Chordata; Actinopteri; Mugiliformes; Mugilidae
Source: RNAcentral
GCUUACGGCNAUACCAGCCUGAA